AGAAUGUGGUGUAAAGGAAACACGUAUAGUUUUGAGCUUUAAAAUGUAGGUUCAACUCCUGCUGUUCUAG
RNAcentral lists this transfer RNA (70 nucleotides) under Thylamys elegans (elegant fat-tailed opossum). RNAcentral describes it as "transfer RNA-Gln". It matches the Rfam family "tRNA". From Rfam's summary of the family: Transfer RNA (tRNA) molecules are approximately 80 nucleotides in length. The record is from RNAcentral. Lineage: Eukaryota; Metazoa; Chordata; Mammalia; Didelphimorphia; Didelphidae.